UACACAUGAUUUAUACUAGUUGGGUGCAUUCUUCCUUGCUUUGCACUUAAUUCAAACUCUAAUGAAAGGCCAUUGAAAAUUCGUUUGGUUUUCCACUAUAAUGUAAAUUAUUAUAAGAGUUUUUAGUAUAACUGAUAAUUAAAACAAAAUUAAACCCUUCAAGCCUAACAAUGCUUAAGCCAACAUUGAUCUGAAUUUCGAUUUCCCUUAUGUUGAGGCAAAAAAACUAAAAUUACCAAUUCACAAGAUCUUAGUGACCUUUA
RNAcentral lists this long non-coding RNA (263 nucleotides) under Lathyrus oleraceus (garden pea). Its description in RNAcentral is "Pisum sativum (pea) long non-coding RNA (PSAT_LNC023321)". The record is from RNAcentral. Lineage: Eukaryota; Viridiplantae; Streptophyta; Magnoliopsida; Fabales; Fabaceae.